AGCCAGACUCCUACGGGAGGCAGCAGUGGGGAAUAUUGCACAAUGGGGGAAACCCUGAUGCAGCGACGCCGCGUGAGCGAUGAAGUAUUUCGGUAUGUAAAGCUCUAUCAGCAGGGAAGAAGAUGACGGUACCUGACUAAGAAGCCCCGGCUAACUACGUGCCAGCAGCCGCGGUAAUACGUAGGGGGCAAGCGUUAUCCGGAUUUACUGGGUGUAAAGGGAGCGUAGACGGCGAUGCAAGCCAGAUGUGAAAGCCCGGGGCUCAACCCCGGGACUGCAUUUGGAACUGUGUGGCUGGAGUGUCGGAGAGGCAGGCGGAAUUCCUAGUGUAGCGGUGAAAUGCGUAGAUAUUAGGAGGAACACCAGUGGCGAAGGCGGCCUGCUGGACGAUGACUGACGUUGAGGCUCGAAAGCGUGGGGAGCAAACAGGAUUAGAUACCCUAGUA
RNAcentral lists this ribosomal RNA (446 nucleotides) under uncultured bacterium. Its description in RNAcentral is "bacterial SSU rRNA". It matches the Rfam family "Bacterial small subunit ribosomal RNA", at positions 329 to 792 of the family's 1533-position model. The record is from RNAcentral.